Molecule: unclassified non-coding RNA, 303 nt
Filed under: Hevea brasiliensis (rubber tree)
Lineage: Eukaryota; Viridiplantae; Streptophyta; Magnoliopsida; Malpighiales; Euphorbiaceae
Source: RNAcentral
AAGAAGUCCAAGAAAAGUAACCACCCAACAAAACCAUCCUCAAUUUUCUUUACUGAACAUCAAUGCUCAAGACCUUGCUCGACCUCGACACCUUAGGAAUGGUAAUGUACAGCACUCCAUCCUUCACCUCCGCCUUAAUCUUCUCCACCUCAACAUUAUCAGGCAGAGCAAUCCUGCUGUUGUACCGCCCAUAGCUCUCCGGAGACCACUCUUCUUCUCCUUCUCCUUCACCUUCCUUUGGUAGCUUCUCGGCCUUGACAACCAGCAUCUUCUCCUCCACCCACAUCUUGACAUCCUUCUUUG